AGGUAAAAACGGUAUUUUGUUUACAUUAUUUACAUCCAAUAUUUCUACGGAGCUGAAGUGAGACGACUAUGGAUUUUAGUUUUUGGAUUAUAGAAGUGUUUAUUUAGUUCAUUAUCAUGAUAACUUAGUGAGUUGUAAACAGAAAAUGUGUCACAUGCAAGCCAAAUGAAUCAACUUAAAUGAGGAUGGACACUAAAAUCUACCAUGUCUACACAAAAAUUAAAAUAUUCAUACCAGACAGAUGACAGAGACAAUGCUUGAAAUAUUUAAAUUUCGCAAAAGAAGAG
Molecule: long non-coding RNA, 287 nt
Organism: Magallana angulata
Lineage: Eukaryota; Metazoa; Mollusca; Bivalvia; Ostreida; Ostreidae
Exons: 2
Source: RefSeq, a predicted model, not a curated record